GAUGAACGCUAGCGACAGGCCUAACACAUGCAAGUCGAGGGGCAGCAGGUCUUCGGAUGCUGGCGACCGGCGCACGGGUGCGUAACGCGUAUGCAACUUACCCUAUACAGGGGGAUAGCCCGAGGAAACUCGGAUUAAUACCCCAUAGUUUAUAGAUUUCGCAUGGGAUUUAUAAUAAAAUUACGAUGGUAUAGGGAUGGGCAUGCGUGACAUUAGGUAGUUGGAGAGGUAACGGCUCACCAAGCCGACGAUGUCUAGGGGUCCUGAGAGGGUUACCCCCCACACUGGUACUGAGACACGGACCAGACUCCUACGGGAGGCAGCAGUGAGGAAUAUUGGUCAAUGGAGGCAACUCUGAACCAGCCAUGCCGCGUGCAGGAAGACGGCCCUAUGGGUUGUAAACUGCUUUUAUACAGGGCGAAUUCUGUUACGUGUAACAGGUUGACGGUACUGUAUGAAUAAGCACCGGCUAACUCCGUG
This 480-nucleotide ribosomal RNA is filed under the name uncultured bacterium. RNAcentral's name for it is "bacterial SSU rRNA". It matches the Rfam family "Bacterial small subunit ribosomal RNA", at positions 28 to 507 of the family's 1533-position model. The record is from RNAcentral.